RNAcentral lists this ribosomal RNA (397 nucleotides) under uncultured bacterium. RNAcentral describes it as "partial 16S ribosomal RNA". It matches the Rfam family "Bacterial small subunit ribosomal RNA", at positions 523 to 918 of the family's 1533-position model. The record is from RNAcentral.
AUACGUAGGGGGCGAGCGUUGUCCGGAAUGAUUGGGCGUAAAGGGCGCGUAGGCGGCCCGGUAAGUCUGGAGUGAAAGUCCUGUUUUUAAGAUGGGAAUUUCUUUGGAUACUGUCGGUCUUGAGUGCAGGAGAGGUAAGUGGAAUUCCCAGUGUAGCGGUGAAAUGCGUAGAGAUUGGGAGGAACACCAGUAGCGAAGGCGACUGACUGGACUGUAACUGACGCUGAGGCGCGAAAGUGUGGGGAGCAAACAGGAUUAGAUACCCUGGUAGUCCACACUGUAAACGAUGAAUGCUAGGUGUAGGGGGUAUCGACCCCUUCUGUGCCGCAGUCAACACAAUAAGCAUUCCGCCUGGGGAGUACGGCCGCAAGGUUGAAACUCAAAGGAAUUGACGGGG